This 1343-nucleotide ribosomal RNA is filed under the name uncultured bacterium. Its description in RNAcentral is "16S ribosomal RNA". It matches the Rfam family "Bacterial small subunit ribosomal RNA", at positions 28 to 1378 of the family's 1533-position model. The record is from RNAcentral.
GACGAACGCUGGCGGCGUGCUUAACACAUGCAAGUCGAACGGAAAGGCCCUGCUUUUGUGGGGUGCUCGAGUGGCGAACGGGUGAGUAACACGUGAGUAACCUGCCCUUGACUUUGGGAUAACUUCGGGAAACUGGGACUAAUACCGGAUAGGAGCUCCUGCUGCAUGGUGGGGGUUGGAAAGUUUCGGCGGUUGGGGAUGGACUCGCGGCUUAUCAGCUUGUUGGUGGGGUAGUGGCUUACCAAGGCUUUGACGGGUAGCCGGCCUGAGAGGGUGACCGGCCACAUUGGGACUGAGAUACGGCCCAGACUCCUACGGGAGGCAGCAGUGGGGAAUAUUGCACAAUGGGCGGAAGCCUGAUGCAGCAACGCCGCGUGCGGGAUGACGGCCUUCGGGUUGUAAACCGCUUUCGCCUGUGACGAAGCGUGAGUGACGGUAAUGGGUAAAGAAGCACCGGCUAACUACGUGCCAGCAGCCGCGGUGAUACGUAGGGUGCGAGCGUUGUCCGGAUUUAUUGGGCGUAAAGGGCUCGUAGGUGGUUGAUCGCGUCGGAAGUGUAAUCUUGGGGCUUAACCCUGAGCGUGCUUUCGAUACGGGUUGACUUGAGGAAGGUAGGGGAGAAUGGAAUUCCUGGUGGAGCGGUGGAAUGCGCAGAUAUCAGGAGGAACACCAGUGGCGAAGGCGGUUCUCUGGGCCUUUCCUGACGCUGAGGAGCGAAAGCGUGGGGAGCGAACAGGCUUAGAUACCCUGGUAGUCCACGCUGUAAACGGUGGGUACUAGGUGUGGGGUCCAUUCCACGGGUUCCGUGCCGUAGCUAACGCUUUAAGUACCCCGCCUGGGGAGUACGGCCGCAAGGCUAAAACUCAAAGGAAUUGACGGGGCCCCGCACAAGCGGCGGAGCAUGCGGAUUAAUUCGAUGCAACGCGUAGAACCUUACCUGGGUUUGACAUGGAUCGGGAGUGCUCAGAGAUGGGUGUGCCUCUUUUGGGGUCGGUUCACAGGUGGUGCAUGGCUGUCGUCAGCUCGUGUCGUGAGAUGUUGGGUUAAGUCCCGCAACGAGCGCAACCCUUGUUCACUGUUGCCAGCACGUUAUGGUGGGGACUCAGUGGAGACCGCCGGGGUCAACUCGGAGGAAGGUGGGGAUGACGUCAAGUCAUCAUGCCCCUUAUGUCCAGGGCUUCACGCAUGCUACAAUGGCUGGUACAGAGAGUGGCGAGCCUGUGAGGGUGAGCGAAUCUCGGAAAGCCGGUCUCAGUUCGGAUUGGGGUCUGCAACUCGACCUCAUGAAGUCGGAGUCGCUAGUAAUCGCAGAUCAGCAACGCUGCGGUGAAUACGUUCCCGGG